Molecule: long non-coding RNA, 385 nt
Filed under: Panax ginseng (ginseng)
Lineage: Eukaryota; Viridiplantae; Streptophyta; Magnoliopsida; Apiales; Araliaceae
Description: long non-coding RNA (PGIN_LNC013719)
Source: RNAcentral
UAAUUUUUUCAAUAUUUGUUUUCCAGUAGAAACAUUUGAUAUAAUGUAAAGAUAUUCGAUACCAUUUUCAUUGGUUGUCUCAAUAUGGUACCUGUUAAGUCGUAUAUCUUUAAAACUUAGCAGAUUCCUCCUUGAUUUAGUGAAAAAUAAAGCAUUAUCAAUGAUAAAUUUUGUUCCACUAGGAAGCAUUAUAUUGGCUCUUCCAGAGCCUUCAAUCAAGUCUGUUGAACCUGAUAUUGUAUUCACUUUUGCUUUCAUCAUUCUUAGAUUUGAAAAAUAAUGCUUAUGUCUGAGAAUGGUAUGUGUCGUUGCACUAUCUGCUAAGCAUAUAUCUCCACCAUUGAUAUUAGGCCCAUGUAUAGCAUGACGUAUAUCUAUAUUUUCU